AUCUGGGAGAUAGCCCUUGAUAAGAAUGGGCCCCUCUCUGUUGCAACAGAAUAGAUCAAUGUCAAGAUAUCGUUUCAGUUACUCUGUAUUUUAUGGGCGAUUUGGUUGUUGCUUGAUAACAG
RNAcentral lists this small nucleolar RNA (122 nucleotides) under Amborella trichopoda. RNAcentral describes it as "Small nucleolar RNA snoR111". It matches the Rfam family "Small nucleolar RNA snoR111". Lineage: Eukaryota; Viridiplantae; Streptophyta; Magnoliopsida; Amborellales; Amborellaceae. The record is from Rfam by way of RNAcentral.